CUGUUGGAAUAGCAACCUUUAAGUUUGGGGUAGCUUUGCAGUACGUGAAUAGUAAGUGAAUGUCGUAUAAAAGAAAAAAAAAGAGAAAAAAGAAAAAAAACAACAACAUGAAAAGAAAGAAAGAGAAAAGCGAAAAACAAUAAAAGAACAGCUUUUGAAAGAUGCUACAUUCACUAUAUAUAAAAGGAAAAGAGGAUUGCAUAACCCUACAGGAAUAAUAGAAAAGAAACGUAGUGAGAGAAUGAUUUCAUG
This 252-nucleotide long non-coding RNA is filed under the name Lathyrus oleraceus (garden pea). Its description in RNAcentral is "Pisum sativum (pea) long non-coding RNA (PSAT_LNC015389)". Lineage: Eukaryota; Viridiplantae; Streptophyta; Magnoliopsida; Fabales; Fabaceae. The record is from RNAcentral.